Molecule: long non-coding RNA, 235 nt
Filed under: Ananas comosus (pineapple)
Lineage: Eukaryota; Viridiplantae; Streptophyta; Magnoliopsida; Poales; Bromeliaceae
Description: long non-coding RNA (ACOM_LNC002624)
Source: RNAcentral
AACCAAACAAAACAUAUAUUUAAGAAAAAAUUUUAAAUACCGUCUUUUAGUACUAUAUGAUUUAAAAUUUAUCACUUUUGUGCUCUAUGGCUUUAUUUUUCUCUUUUUGUUAUUUUCUCUACUAAUUUUUUUUUGUUAAAUCAGUAACAAAGUUAAAACAAAAGAGUACUAAAGUGAAUAUUGGAUGAACCAUAUAUGGAAUAUAUCUGAAAUUUUUUGCAUAUGAGUUAACGAA